Molecule: ribosomal RNA, 534 nt
Filed under: uncultured bacterium
Lineage: Bacteria
Description: bacterial SSU rRNA
Rfam family: Bacterial small subunit ribosomal RNA
Source: RNAcentral
GACGAACGCUGGCGGCGUGGAUUAGGCAUGCAAGUCGAACGGUAUGGACCUUUCGGGGUUCAGAGAGUGGCGAACGGGUGAGUAACACGUAGGUAAUCUACCCUCAAGACGGGGACAACCCAGGGAAACUUGGGCUAAUACCGGAUGUGUGUAGUGGCUAUUUUUCUGAUUAUCAUUAUUUACGUAAGUGAGUAAUAAUAAGAAGGGAAAGUGGUUAUUACAUAAAAGGUGGCGUAAGCUGCCGCUUGGGGAUGAGCCUGCGUCCUAUUAGUUAGUUGGUGAGGUAACGGCUUACCAAGGCGAUGAUAGGUAGGCGGCCUUAACGGGUGGUCGCCCCACACCUGGGAUUGAGAUACGGCCCAGGACUCCUACGGGAGGCAGCAGUCGAGAAUAGUCUACAAUGGACGGAAGUCUGAUAGUGCGACGCCGCGUGAACGAGAAUCCCUUCGGGGUGUAAAGUUCUUUUAUACGUGAGCAGUGUCCUUUAUAUUAAUAGUAUAAGGGGAGAGAUAUUAGCGUAUGAAUAAGCAACGG